UUUUGGUAUCGGCUCCUUGUUUGGUCAUAUUAGUGAUAGGAGCGAUAACAGAGGAGUACCCCUUAAUAAAACGUCUGUAAUAAUUAGAAAAUCCAAGAAAUCUUUGUAUGGCUUUGAGUCCCUUAGGUAAAGGCCAAUCUAAAAUCGAUUUUAGUUUGGUCGGGUCCAUCAUAAACCCGUCUUUGGAAAUUACGUAACCUAAGAAAGUUACCUGAGACUGGUCAAAGCUACAUUUUUCC
Molecule: non-coding RNA, 239 nt
Organism: Pelobates cultripes (western spadefoot toad)
Lineage: Eukaryota; Metazoa; Chordata; Amphibia; Anura; Pelobatidae
Source: the annotation of a GenBank genome assembly